Molecule: long non-coding RNA, 29342 nt
Filed under: Coffea arabica (coffee)
Lineage: Eukaryota; Viridiplantae; Streptophyta; Magnoliopsida; Gentianales; Rubiaceae
Description: long non-coding RNA (CARA_LNC002829)
Source: RNAcentral
UUUUUUUUUUUUUUUUGGUUUUUGUUCUUGUCUGUUAAGAGCUAGCCGAGAGAGGGAGGGAAAAGAUUUUUUUCUUUUGUGGCUUGUCUAUUGGCGGGCAAAGAAAAGAGCCGAAAAUGAGAGGAAUUCUUCUUUGAGAGAAAAGUUGCUGCUAAUUUUUGUCUUCGGAAGAAGCCCAGAGAACCCAGAGGGACUUGGGAGGAUGAGGAGUGCUUUUUUUUCUUAGUUGUCUUGUGUGUGUGAGAGCCGAGAGAUUGUAUUGAGAGAAAAGAUGGGGAGUUGGUUUGUUUUCUUGUCAAAAAAUGAUUGUCUUCCCACCUAAUCAAAAGAAAGAAGCAUGGAAAUCGAGUGUGAAAUGGGUUAAGUGUAUUUGGCGGAAAAAAAUGAUUAGGAUGAUUUCUUGAUUUCCUCUUUUUUUUUUUUUGUUGCUAUUUUGCUUUGUUUUGUUGUUUUUUUAGUUUUUGUUUUCCUUUUUUGUGUUUUUUUUUUCUUUCCCUAAAACAAACCUGCAAAAUGAGAAAAACACACGUUAAAAUGUAAGAAAAUAAAUAACUCAUUAAAUAAAAAAAAUUCAAGAAAUAUUAAAAAUUGAUAAAAAUUUGGUAUUUAUACUCAUAAAAUUUAUCAAAAUUUUUAAAUUAUAUACUCCAAAAUAUCUAAAAAUUUACACAUUUUAAAAAAAAUUUUUACAAUAUCUACAAUAAGUUACAGUAAAAUUUUAGACAAACACUCGAAAAACUCAUUUACCAAACGAGACCUAAUCCUUUCAAUGGUGGUUGGUUUGAAGUGGACAUUCGAUUGGAGUGACUGGACCGAAUUUGGAUUGUGUUUAUCGCUGCCGCCGCUUGUGGGGCCCGCCUUCUUAUAAUAAGAAGCUCAGGCGGAUGGGGCUUCAGGGUUUUAGAUUUAUAGCCGACGUCCUUUAAAAUAAAUAAAUAAAAGAUUUAUAGCCGACAGAGACAGAAUGGAACGUCAUAGGGAGCGCUGGUGCUGGUUGGGUGCUUUAUAGUUUUGGUUAAUUGCAUUUACCUCCCCGGAGGUUUGGCCAAAUUUCAAGUUAGACCUUUAGGUUUAACCAAACUACGAAAAGCUCCCUGAAAUUCAAAACUUCAUAUUAAAAAAUGUGCCCUGCUAUUAGCAAACUAACGUUGACCUCCUAAGUUUGGCGAAUUUCUCGAAAUAAUAUUGAUAUAGGAAAAAAUCACAAAUAUAGUAUUUUGUGGGAUUUGUUUCCAAAAUAAGGGUCGUCGCACCUGAGAAAAUCGACGCACAAAAAUUUCUAAUUUAUUUUUGAAAUUUUUUUCAACGGUUUAAAAAUUUUUUAAGUUAAGAUUUUGGGCUAAAUAUUUUAAUUUAGUCGCAAAUCUAAUAUGAGGCAAAAGCUAUGUACCAUUGAUUAAAAUGUUGAUCAAACAAUCGUGAUUUGAAAAAAAAAAUUUAAUUCUAUUGCCCCAAACAAAAUUUGCGGCUAUUUGAAAUUUUUUUUGAGAAGCCACAGAUCCCAUGUGCGGCAAAGCUUUGGACAACAUGACUUGAUGGCAUUAUUUUUCUUCGCUGCAAAUUAUUUUUUUUAAAUAUAGCAGGUGAUCAACGGUCAUGAUUUGAUGGGCAAUUUUUUUUCCUUUGUCGCAAAUUUAAUUUGCGAUGAUAUAUUUUUUUAAAUGUCGCAGCUCUUGAUCAUUGAUCAUGGUGAUCAACGGUCAUGAUUUGAUGGGCAAUAUUUGUUUCUUAUUACUUGCAAGACAUAGAGGGGACUAGUCAUUUGGGGCAACCCCGCACUUACUUGUUUAUACUCCUGGCUGUAUAAAGCUUCGUACCCGAUCACAAACUGCACUGUUGACCUAUAUAUACUUCUACAGGUAUAAAUGGAACAACUUUGGGAUGUUUGAGCAUCCUUAUUUCAUUUGAAUGCAUAAUUAAUAUGACGUUCACAAUGCUUAUAUUUUUAACAGUUAUGAGCGUGGGAAAUGAUGCCCCAGGAUUCGCCUGACUAUGGUGGUUCCAGCUGCAUAGGGAAAUGAUUUUCCCAGAGGCGGCCGUUGGGCAAGUGACUGUACGAUAAAAUAUUAGGGUUUUAGUGUUAGGAUUUAGGAAUUAAUGUUUUAGGGUUAGGGUUAAUGGGCAAAAUCGUUGUGAUUUCAUUUUUUAAAUAAAAAAAUUUAAAGCUUCGUCACACAUUUGAGGUGCAGCGAACCCUUUAACAAAAAUAAUUUUGCUUUGGCACACCUUUUUAAAAUAAAUAUAUAUAUAUAUCGCUUCAUUUACUUUCUAGGGAGGAAAAAAAAUGAAAUUUAAAUCAAUUUUUUUUUUUCUGAUAACCUCCUUUACCAUUUGUAACGACCCUUAAAUUAGAACUCAAUCCCAAACUACCCCACUUUUGUGAUAUUUUCUGCUUUUAACAUUAUUCUUAGAAAUUCGCCCCUAAAUUUGAACAAUCUCAACACAAAGUUAUGACAGAUUCCCCAAAAUGCCCAUCAAAGCUCUUCCUCGUCUUCUUCCCCUUUCCCUGCUCCCUAGCAAACAACACCAAUACCACGAGGUUCACGACUAAUAGCAAAGAUUUCAGCACUAUUUUUUUUUGUGGGGGGGGGGGGGGGCAAAGAAGCACAAAAGCUGCAAGUAUUGGUUUUAAGCUUCAAAGUUUUAAUCUUUCAUGGAACUUAAGAUAACGAAAACACUAAUAAUUAACCCCACAAAACAAGUUGAAUGUACAUGAGCUUUUAUUCUAAUGUUUAGGUGAUAAUUUUAAUGAAAUUCUACCAAAUUUGGAUAGAGUUUUGAACAAAUAAAAAGUAGGGGAAAAAACCGAGUGGAAAGAAAGAAAAGCCAUUGAAAAAGAUGAUGACCAGUCACUUUGUUAGCUUUUUUCAAAUUUUUUUUAUCAUUUUCUUUCACGUUUUUCCUUUUCAUUUUCUUGGUAUUAAAUAGUUUGUUUAUAGUCCUGUUUUCUUUCUCCAAUGCUUGUUUCAAGACGUUCAAUUUUCCAUUGGUUUUAACAUUUAUUUUUUGUUUUUAUUUUUCUCAAUUAGUUUUACUCCAUUUAUCUUUCUUACUAAUUUUGGAGUUUUGUCUCAUUCCUUUACUUAAUUUUCAUUUUUUGUUCUAUAAAUGCUCUUUUAUUGAGUUUUUCAUUUUAUUUGUGGAAUCUUCUGAACUAUGCCUUUUUGUCAUUUCUCAAUACACACUAACGGAGUUAAACAACAGUCAAUGACAAAGGGGUGAUUGUAAUUUGGCUAAAUCAUAAGGCUUGUUACGUAAUAUGGACAAACCUCUGGGGAGGUAGAUGUAAUAGGCAGCAAAACACAAUAAAUUAAUUUUUUUCCCCCAAACUGGAUGACACACAAAAAUGCCAGUAUUAGUAUCACGUCGCAUUAUAAAUAUCACUUACUUUCCCUUAUUUUAAAACUUUUGUAACAUUGUUUAUUAACCCAACUCAGAAUAUUAAUACUGAAAAACUAUUUUUGUUUGGAAGUGUAUAGAUAAUUUUUGUUUCAAAAUUGCCCUUUUGUUGUGUUAAUGCUCAUGGCAAAUCAAUUUAAAAUCCUCAACAUUUGAAAAUUUACCUAUUUACUUCCUUAGUGGAAAAUUAUAAGUUUUUAUUGAGGUUAGGAGAUUGUUUAACGAACUUUUAUUUUAUAAUUUGGACAAGAUAAAUUAAAAUUUUUGCAACUUAUGAAUAAUUUACAAAACACGUAAAAAUCAUUCAUUAAUUUUUUUUGGGCACAUCUUGAGAGCAUUUUCAUACAUACUGUUUUAGUCAGGCGACUUUCUCGAAAUAAUGCGAAAAAGAGAAAAUAUCACAAAAGUGAUGCUGAGCUCGCUUCUAUAUUAAAGGUUGCUGCAAAUGUCAGACAAGGCUUCACAGAAAAUUUGAUUAAAAUUUUUUUUUUAAAAGUCAGAACCAAUUUUUUUUUUUUUUCAUUUUCACAAAAAGUUUCGCCACAAAUGGAGAAUGAGGCCGAGAAAAAAAAUAUUUUUUUUUGGAAAAAAUAUUUUUUAAAUUUUUUUUUUGGAGAAACCGCAAAUUGCAUUUGCGGCAAAGGAGAAGCCAAGACGUGGGGCACGGACGGUUGCAGGUGCAACCGUCCCUGCCAAUUGUAGUCAUUAUCAACUGGCCGUAACUCUCUUUGUACAUGGUGUAACUUUUUUCUCACAGGAUGUAUUUUCACAACAGAUAGUGACGGGUCCCACACAUGAUGCGGAAAUCGAGUUACGUCUUGUUAUCUCCCUGCCCCAUUUCCGAGAAGCCACCAUUUGUGUCCAUUUGUCUUAUCAGCAGUUGUAGUUUUCCCAUGCUCUGGUUGCAUUCGACAUGAAAAUAAUUAUAUAAAUAUUCAUGUAUUACUUCCCAUGAUGCUGUUCAUGACAUGUUAAAUUUAAGCAGAAGCGUCUGAGUCCUCUGCUAGUUGGAAUUAUUACUUUUUUGCUGGAAUUGAUCAUUUUGUACGAGAUAAAGUGGUGGCAUCUAGCCUUAUAAUAGAGGAUUUUGCAGCUGAUGUUCUUUCGUUACACCAUAAUUGCUGACCUCAUACAGUUGCAAAACCUAUGUAAAAUGUAUCUCGAUCCCUGCGUAGUGUGCUCAUCUUGGAUUGAUGGUAAUAUAAAAAAAAAAAAAAAAGGCUUUUGGGAUAUUACAAUCCUUGAAUUAAAGAAUGCGGAGGAUAGUUAGCUUAUUCGACCGUCAAGAUAUUGGCCUAUCUAACUCUUGUAUUGUCCCUUUCGAGAUGUCUGUUGAGUAUUUAGCUAAGCAGAUGCGGGAUAGAAAACAUGAAGGUAAGUGUCGCAGAGGGGCAUAUCCAUACAUGUUGUUCAUGUACUCGACAUAUUUAAUUUUCAAUAUGUCUUGCUGGCAUUAAAACCAAAAAAUUCAAAAAUGGAUGAUUUGGGCAUAUUUAAUCUUCAAUUCAUUUUAUAUUUUCAACCAAAAGGAAGCUGAAAGCAUUUGUAUAGGAUGAUUAAUCACCAUUUAUGAAAUUAACACAAUUUUUGUAGUUAAAUUAAAGGGAUAAUUUCACAAACCUCCCCUGAGGUAUUUAAUAAUUACAGGGAGCUCUCCUCAAAUUUUAAAAAUUACAUGUACCUCCCCGACUUUUACUGUUUAUAUAACAAUAUAGGUCCAACAAGGAAGAUUUUCUCUUAAAAAUCCUAAAUUACCCUUUUGUACAAAACUAAGAAAGCAAAAUAUAAUAUGUUUAAUCAUUUUCUUCCAUAUUUUGCACAAAUCAACAAGCCUAAUUCCUAACAACCAUCCAAGUAUAAGUUUCAAAUCCAAAUAACCAUAAAAAAGAUUCUAAGUUGCAUAUAUAACAUCAACUUACUACGUAAAAAAAAAAACACUCAUACACACACACACACACCUCCCAUUAUCUCAAUGCUCAAAUACAUUUUCAAUACAAGCUAAUAUGAUCUAGAACCACCAUUACAACCUUCUUAUGGUCUUAAAAAUAUUAAUAUUGUAAAAGUAAAGAAUAAAUUCUACCUCGACAAUAAAAUCAUAACAAAAAUUUCCAAUCCAAUGAAAGAAAUCCUUAUGUAAUUAUUAAUAUUUUAUAAAAGUUUUUUAUGACAACAAACAAACUAUGACAAAUUUCACAUCUCUAGUUCUUCUUCCUAUUUCAAUCAUAAAUUUCAUUAUUUAUUUCUCUAUCAUUGCAAAAAUAGACAAGACAGAAAUUUUUUUUUUUUUGGAUUUUGUAAAUCUAGUGCCUUAAAUUUAGAAUUGUCUAGCAAGUGGAGGGUAGUAUAGGCAUUUUAUUACGUCAAGGAAGUUAAGUGUAAUUUCUUAAACUUAAGGGGAGCCGAGUGAAAUUGUAAGAAACCUCAAGGGAGGUUUCUGAAAUUAUUCCUAAAUUAAAUUUGCAGCUUUUAGGGUUAGGAUUUAUGUAUUAGGGUUUUAUUGUGAGCGUUUAGGGAUUAUUGUUUUAGGGUUGGGGUUUGCAGGCAAAAUUAUCGCAAUUCCAUAUUAAAAAAAAAAAGAUUUGCCACCCAUUUGAGGUGCGGCAAAUCCUUUAAAAAAAAUUAUUUGAUUCACCGCCCUUUUGAGGUAUGGCAAAACCUUGUAAAGUAUAUUUUAAAAAAAUCCAGUCCUUUUACUUCCUUGGCGACGAAAAAAAUGAAAUUGAAAUCAAUUUUUUUUGAAACCUACUUUUCCAUUUGCAGCGAACCUUAAAAUCAAAAUCAAUCAUACUUUUGUGAUAUUUUCUUAUUUUAAAAUUAUUCUAAGAAAUUCGCCGGCAUGAGCCGGAUCAAUAGCUUUUAGUCCAGGACACUCAAGAAGUGAAAGACCUGCCAGAAAACAAAAGUUUCCGAGACUAAAUCACCAGAAAAUGAACCAUAAAAAAGAAAGAGAGAUAGAUCAGCUAAUACUGCCAAUAGGAGAAAAUUGGUACUAACGCUUAGCUGUAAGAUGUGGGCGCCAAGCCAUUAGAUGUGCGGUCAUUAGCCAAACAGUAAGGUACGAACGGCCGCGAUCUUUUGCCACACAUUACAUGUGCGGCUUCUGAAAAUAUUGUGGGACCAUCAUGGACCGUUUGCCUCAAAGUUUUUAUUUUUAUUUUUUUGGAAACGACAACGAUUGUAUAACCUAAUUUAUUCUAUACUAAAGGGGAGGAGGCGAACCUAAGGAGGCCUAAGGAUAAUUCGGAGGGGACUGAAUCACCACCGGAUCAAACAGGUGUACAACACACCGGCCUGAAUUUUUUUGAAGCAAACACUUAAAUGUGACAUUUUUGGUGGAAUCUCACCAAGUUAGGUGGUGGCCACCCGCCCAAAGGCUAGAGGUGCCUCAAAGUUUUUAGAAACAAAACUUUUUACCUUCGCCGCAACCCCGUUUGGAUUGCGAUUUUUCUCAGAAAAAUGUGUUCACGUUCUCAGAAAAAUUGUUAUGUUUUCCGUGAACACAUUUUUCUAUCACCUUUUUAACUUACAUCUAUCAAAUCACUAUAACAAUUUUUCUAUAAAAAAUCCAGAAAAACGCAAUCCAACCUGAAAUUUUUUUUAAAUUUUCAUCCUCCGCUGCAAAUUACUUUUGCAGCAAAUCAACAAAAUAAAUUGGUUCCAACUUAAAACAAAAAAUAAAGAAAUUUAAAUCAAAUUUUUUAUUAAACCUCAUAUGAUAUUUGCAGCAACCCUUGACCUGAAAGCCAACCUUCAACAGCAUCACUUUUGUGAUGUUUUCUUGUUUUCGCAUUAUUCUGAGAAAUUACCCCUAAGUUAAAAAUACAAUUUUAAACACUUUUUUUUUUAAAUUUCAAGCCAUCCAUGUGGAUAAAAAUGAAAAUGCUAAAUAAUUAUAUAAAAUUUCUUAAAUUCACUCAAAAACACUUACAUAAAAAGAAAGAUUUCUUUAUUUGGUAACCUAAAAGGCACCUAAUUAGCACAUCAAGAAAAUUAAGAUGGACCAACGUUAAAGUUUUAAACUCAUAAUUAGAGGUGUCAAAAUGGGUGACUUGGACGGGUUUGAGUUGGGUAAAAUGGAUAAUGGGUAUAAGACUAUAAGUGAGUCAACUCAUUUAUACCCAUUUAAUUAGAUGGGUAUAAAUGGGUAAGUUAAAAAAUGAAUUUGGUAAUCCAAUUACCCAUUUAUAACCUAUUUAUUUUAACUUUUUGUAAUCUAUGACUCAUAAUCAACCACCCUAAAUUACUAACACUUUAGCACAGGAAAUGUAUCCUUCCACCAAAAUAAUCCACCCCCUAUUACAGCAUCAAAUACAGAUUCAGGCUGAUACUUUCUAGCCCUAAAUCCAUCCUUUAGAAAAUCAACAAAAGAAUAACAGAAAAAUAUACAUCAAAUAUGUAUGUAUCAGUCGAAACUGUGUGAUACUGCAUAAUGUGAAAGAGGUAGGUGGUCAAUAUUAGUCAAAAAAUGAAUUCAACUUCGAGAAGAAAUUUCUUUGUUUAUGGAUUCUUGGUUAAAGAGCAGCAAAAGAUUAAAACUAUAAUUGAAUUGCAUCUGAGUUUGCUCGAGUCCAGGAAGCACUUCUUCCACAUCUUACCCAAGAAUGCUUAUCAGCCAUGCAUGCAACAAAUAUCUUCAAUAUCCACUCAAAGUUAAGCCCACCAAUAUUUUUCCAUUCAUAGUUUCUUUCUAGGUAGGCUCAAAGUGUACAGAGGUACAAACAACGAAGUUCAUUGCGGCUAAAACAUUCAGGUGAAUGGCUCAGCCGGCGCGGCUGUGCCUGAGGAGUUCAAAUUCUCCUUCAUGGUUCUUUUACAGCCAUUUCUUGAAACUUCCCACCCUUUCCAAACGGUAUUGCAGAAGGGACUAUGCAACUCCGGUAAUGCUAAAAAACCCACAAAAAUUGACGGGCAACUCGACCAUCUUUGGCUUAGAGUUGGGAAAGGGUGUCCAUAGACGUAAUCUUGAAUUAAGAAGCUUGGGUAAUCAAGGUAAAGUAAGUGAAGCCAGGAAGAUGUUCGAUGAAAUGCCGCAAAGAGAUGUCGUUUCUUAUGCUUCCAUGAUUACGAUUUAUCUUAAACAAAAUGAUCUUCCUAGAGCUGAAAGUUUGUAUAGUGCAAUGCCCGAGAGAAAUAUUGUAGCUGAUUCGGCAAUGGUGCACGCCUAUGCUAAGGUUGGUCAGCUGGAUCUUGCGCGGAAAAUAUUUGAUCGUAUGCCUUGUAGAAGUGUGUUUUCUUGGACUGGUUUGAUUUCUGGGUAUUUUAAACAUGGAAGGGUGGAUGAGGCUUGUGAACUCUUUCGACAAAUGCCUGAGAAAAACGUGGUUUCGUGGACUACAAUGUUGGUGGGUUUUGCUAGAAAUGGCUUGAUUGAUCAGGCGCAGGAAACUUUUGAUCAAAUGCCUGUCAAAAAUGUGGUUUCUUGGACAGCUAUGAUCAGGGCUUAUGUGGAGAGUGGUCAAGUUGAUCAGGCCUUUCAGCUUUUCUAUCAAAUGCCUGAACGUAAUCUCUAUUCCUGGAAUAUAAUGAUCCACGCCUGCUUGGAUUAUGACUUGGUGAAUGAGGCUGUGCGGCUGUUUAAUUCCAUGCCAUGGACGAAUGCAGUUUCUUGGACCACAAUGGUUACUGGUCUUGCACAGAAAGGAUUUAUUGAUUUGGCUCGGAAGUAUUUUGAUCAAAUGCCAAGCAAGGAUAUAAUUGCUUGGAAUGCUAUGGUAUCAGCCUAUGCUGAUCAUGGCAUCAUGUCUGAGGCUAGUAAGCUUUUCAGUUUGAUGCCAAAUCACAACGUGGUGACAUGGAAUGCCAUGAUUGAUGGGUAUGCCAAAAAUGGGCGUCAAGAUGAAGCUCUCAAGCACUUUGUUCUCAUGCUACGAAGCUCCAGUGGUGCUAACACAAUUACCCUCACUAGUGUAGUGAUUGCAUGUGAGGGAAUUGUUGAGCUGUUGCAAGCUCAUGGUCUUCUUGUCAAGCUAGGUCUUGAGCAAGCGACCUCAUUGACCAAUGCUCUUGUUACCAUGUACUCUAGGAGUGGAGAUCUUAGCUCAGCACGACUUGUCUUUGAGAAUCUUGAAGCGAAAGACAUUUUGUCAUGGACAGCGAUGAUUCUGGCGUACUCUAAUCAUGGUUAUGGUAACCAAGCAUUACAGAUAUUUGCUCAGAUGUUGCGAUCAGGCAAUAAACCAGACGAGGUUACGUUUGUGGGAGUCUUGACGGCCUGUAGUCAUGCAGGUCUUGUCAAGAAAGGCCAAAGGCUUUUUGACUCCAUGAGGUCUGCAUAUAAUAUCAUUCCCAAUAAAGAGCAUUACUGUUGUCUUGUUGACAUCCUUGGUCGAGCGGGGCUAGUCAAUGAGGCUGUCAAGGUGGUUUGCCAAAUGCCUCCAGGUGAAUGUGAUGUUGCUGUUUUAGGAGCACUACUUGGCUCGUGCAAGUUAUAUGGGGAGGUCGCCCUGGCAAAGCUUUUGGGUGAGAAAUUAUUAGAGCUGGAGCCAUCUAGUUCAGGAAGUUAUGUGCUUCUAUCUAACUUGUAUGCUGCUUGCGGUUUGUGGGACAAUUUUGCUCAUAUAAGAAAGAGGAUGAAGGAGAGUAGAGUGAAUAAAGUACCUGGUUUUAGUCAAGUAGAAGUAAAGGGUGAGAAUCAUGUGUUUUACGCAGGGGACAGAUCUCAUAAGGAAAUGGAGCAGAUUUAUGCUGCACUGAAGGAGAAGCUUCUACCGGUGAUGCAAGAUAAAUAUUGCAUGUACGAAGCUGUAGCAGUAUAGAUUGACAUGGAAUUACAUUUAGAGCUUGUGCUACGGUGUGGUGAUGCAAUUUUUGAUUGCUGGGAUAUGCUUUCCACUAAAUUGAUGCACAGUGCUGCAACAGGUGAAAUGUGAUAACUAACUAAAUUUGGUUUGUUUUGAGGUAUUACAUUUGUACACUUUGUAUCACACAGACACACAAACACACACAAAGGCAUGUACACCUAAGUGUACACGUAGAUACUCCUAUUUGCCUCUGACUAUAGCUGUGAACUAACUGAUCUUUUGCAUUAUCCUGAAGUACGCUACAAAAGCAUGUCUGAGAUACCACACUGAACCAGGAAGAUUAGGGGAAAGUAUGACCCCAACGUUAUUCUAUCUUUGAAUGUUGACGUUCUCUAGUUUGUAAUCCUUUCAUUUGUUCUGCUGACAAUAAAACAGAAAAUGAAGAAUUUCUUCCCAUAAAGCUUUGAAAUCCUAUUUUACUAAUUUGCGUCAAAAUUGAACGUGGACUAAACCUUGCAUAUAAGUCAAGAUGGGCUCAGUGGUGCAGCAUUAAUUUCUCAAUUGAGUUUUCACAUUCAGCUCAGUAGUAAGAUAGGACCUUUCAAUUUUCAAGAGUUUGUUUCCAGUGAGGAAUUGUAUCUAAACAUUUAUCAUAAUGUUGAUGAUUAACCAUGUCCAUUUGACUGUCUAAAAUAACUCAAAAGGUCAUAGAGUCUUUCCUAACUGUCUUUUGAUGUAUUGAUAUUCCCGAUUCCGUAGCUGAAUUGGUGGAAAUGCUGCUGAAAAGCACGGAGUUCCAAGGGUAUGCAUUUGACGGGGCCAAGGUGAAGAAGAGAGAAAAGGAGACCGGUAAUUUAGAGAAGAGAUGCUGCCUAUAUUUUGGACUUCCAAAUAGAUCAAGUUUCCUAUUGCUUAACUUUGUGCAGCUAAAUUGAGCCCUCGUGAAACAAAUCAAUAUCAGAUAGGCUUCCCAAUUGUUCCAGCAGAAAGAAAAGCUUAGGACUUUGCUUUGCAUAAGAGAUUCUCAAAGCUGAAGAUUCUUACUUAUCUAACCAAGACUAUCAAACAGGGUUCCAUAACAAAGCAAAAAUAGGAGGCCUGGCAAUGGUAAUGCAGGUAAUGCAAAUGGAAAAGUAAUGGCCGGGUAAUGCUGGCAUUUUAUGAAUUUUAUUCUAACUUGUUGAUCCUAAUAUUUCAUUUGUAAUAUCAGGUUUAUUUGAUGACUGAAAUGCCCUAUACUUGUACAGAUUUCUGCAGGCUUCCUAACAGGGAGAAAAGGGUCAAAAGGUUCUUUGAUCAAAACAAGGUCCAUACCUUUCCUAUGUUGGAAGUUACAGGUCCGAUUCAAACUCUCCUAGAUACCUUGUUGGUCUUCAUCAGAUAGAUGACACUUAAUUGGCAUCUAUCCUGAGAAGCUUCUUGCAUUCCAUGUUCACAAGUGUUACUUUCAAAUGAACUAACUAACUCAGUAGCUGCUUCUGUUGUUCUUUAUUGUGAGUAUUCCCCGGAUACCCGGUUCAUUGUUUCUUUUUUUGAGGCACAUUUUCUUUGUAAACAUGACAAUACAAAAGACUGAAAUAAGAGAAAGUCGAUAUAGCGCAGAUGGAUUUACCGAACAAUUUAAUACCAUUUAAGAGCAAGUUCAGUACAGAAUCAUUUUUCUGCUGGUGAUCCAGUUCUAAGAAAAAAUUUUGAUCUUGAGAAAAUACUUUAUUGUCUGUUUUGGUUCAUAAAGUAGCAUUUCUUUUUCAGUUAACUUUCAUCAGUCGACCAUUGACCAAUAAUGCUCAUUUGUAUUAUGCAAGACAAUACAAAUCAUAAUUUUAAACAGUACUUUUAUGGUCUGUAUUAGUACUCUAGCAAGUCCUUUUUUUUUUCCGCAAUUAGCUGUUAGUGGUGCCCCUAAUCAACCAGUAAAUGUUCAUUCGGAUAGAAUAACAUGAUAAAAAUCAGUACAUUAAGAUAAGGCAACGUUUUUGUUGAUACAAAACAUAGAAAGUUCAGUAAGUAAAAUUAUUUUGACAUAAACUACAAUUGAGAGGAGUUUUACACUCACUUUAACUGACAGAAAGCAUGCGCAAAUUUUGCUAAAAGAGUGUUAGAUUCGUCUGUUUUCUUCUUCCAAUUUCAAGGGCAUUACGAUUUAUACAUUUGCAUACAUUCAACAUCUCGUAAACAAAUUCAGGAAGACAUUUAAAAAUGAAAGUUCGCAAAUGAGGAACUAGUGGAUGUCUAUAGAUAACCUGCAUUUUUCCAAAUUGAAGAAUCAAUAGACAUUAUUAUUAGUCGAGUAUCAUUGCUUUUUUUGAAGUACCAAUACCCAGUUUUGUCCUCUGUAAUCCGCAAAGCUUAAAUUAAUAACAACGAAAAAUGUAAUUUUAGAAAAUGAACAGUUCCCAUUAAAUGGCAAGCAUUGCUGAUUCCAAAUGAACAGCAGCUAUCUUUGCAAUGUCUUCAACCACGAACAGAAGAAAUCAAUGUUCUACACUUCAAAACCUCCCCAGCAUGACGACGUAACCCAACUUUGCAUCUGCAAUGACAAUAAUGUGCUUCUGCUACAUGCACUCACAAAAUAGUCUCACAACGAGAAUUCUUUUGGACCAUAAACCCAUCUCCUCAAAGAGCCAUCCAAGAUGUGAAACAAGAGCGAGCAACCCAUACGACAAAGGAAAAACAUUCAAGAGAAUGAAUUUAAAAUGUCAGUUACCCGGAAUUCACUGAUUCACAAAAACAGAACAAAGAGCUUGGACAUUCAUAGCGCGGGAUAUAUCCUCCAAAGUUAAAAAAGAUUAAAACCAAUGAUACACAAAAACCUUUCAAGUUGUCUUUGCUUUCUACAUCCAGGAUCUGUGAAUAUGCAAUAUUCUUUCAAAUCUUUCUUACCCUCCAUGGAUUUGCAAUCAGUGUGGAAACCAAUAUAGGCAUACACGGGUGACUGGAUUGCCUGCCUCAACCUGAAUGCAGAGACUACACAGAUGCCUCGGACACCUUACCUUGGGAAGGAUAUAAAUCGAGGACAGAAACCCAUAAAGGAGUUUCCAGUCUCACAAUCUCAGCUGCAUACACGACAUACCUAUCCCCAAAGUAUGCAGUAAACUCAACAACAAUCAGAAAAGAUACCCGUAAAUUCCUGUGAGCAGCAGACAGUAUUGAAUGAGAUUAUCAUGCUUUUACACCAUCCAACCGCCCAAAGGAUUAAAAAGACCCCACACCAACACACUUAAAACGAAGGAUUAAGAAGAGAAAAUUUUUCAUACCUAGCCAAUAAUGCAUUGUUACUUAAUUAGAUUAUUAUCUUAUUAUACCUUCAGCAAUUUUCGAUAUGCACAAAUAAUGCAAGGAUGUCGUCAUUCAAUGAUCUUCACGUACACAAACAAAAAGCAAAAUGAUCCAUCAAUCAGAAAGGCUAACACAUCAGCUUACCUGCAAUUGCAUACAAUUUGAACACCAAUAUGCUUACAAAAAUUUUAUCAAAUCAUGGAAAAUAUCAGUUGCUUGAGAGCUUAGCAAAGUUAACAAGUUCUACCCUUGACCAACCUAGUCUCCUCUCUAGACAUUCUUCUUCGUAGUACUUCACUAAUAAGAUAGCCAGCGACACCUAUUGCUAGGUUCUGUGAUGGCCUGGGCUGUACUAUCAACCAGUGGUUAUCUUCUCUCUUUCAGUGUGUUAGCAUAACAGAAGCUCUGCACAUUCUGAGGUCCUGCCAAGGCACAGUUCUCUCCCUUGUGGUGGUACGCAAGAGAAACAGAAGAACUGGACUUCGAGCAGCCAGUGACACCUCCAGAUUGCACGUAAUACAAAAUUCAAUAUAGGGCUGAUAUCUCAAACAGUAUUUCCUUCGGCCCAGAGACGAGUAGAGCUCCAAAACAAGCAAUAAAAGACAAGCUCACAGGAUACAAGUGAGGAUCGUCUCCAGAUUUCUAAUAAUACUAUAGAAAUAGUCCAUCAUUGAAUCAUUCCCCAGGAACUAAACAUACCUAGAUAGCAUGAGCAGCAGUCAGUAACAAUAAAUCACAAAAUACUGCCAACUUGUAUAUUACAUGUAAAAAUUUGGAUACAACAGCCAAAAUGUAACAUUUGCUUCAAUUCAUUCCAAAUAUACAAGAUUUUCUUUGAAAUUGAACUAUAUACCAAAGGCACUUCGCAGACAUUCUCAGUUUUGUAAGACGUAAUAAACUGACACAACACAGUAACUACCUCAAACGAUAUGACUAGGAAUGGAAAUUCAGCAUUUCAUCAGCCAUUUCAAAGCUUCUAGAGUAUUACAAGAUUAACAUUCUCAAGAAAGUCAAGAGUAAAUUCAGUGGUCCAACACUACUGAGAACAUGAUCUACAAGGAUCUCAAACCAAACUGCCAAUCAUUUUACACUGAGAAGGAUCACGGAGUUAGUAGAUCUUCACGGAACAAUUACAUGUCAAAAGAUUAAGCGCAAAAGCACAUAAUGAUGCUUUGAUUAACAAGAGCUUUGUUGUCUUCAGAUUUCACACAAAUUACUUUUUCCUACUACAUUACCUAACCAUUGCUUUUGCUGUAUCGAACAACACAGCAUGCAGAGCGCAUGGAGAAUUUAAAUGAACUCUCACCAUCAAUGGACAAAAAACAGCAGUUAACAAAAAAAAUCUUGACAAAAGAACUCGUACAUCUAAUUGCAGUACCUGAAAUCCUGCCUAAUCAAACCAAGACCCAACAUUUGGCAGACUACUUUCCAAAUGGUGAAAACAGAAAGCUAAUCCCAGAAAGCUAAUCCUAGUUUCCAUCUGAUCAGCCAGAACCAGCAUCUAAACGUAUACUGCCGCUUUGCCGCCCAUGAAAAUUUCCCCUGCCACGCUUUGACUGACCCAGUCCUCUGUCCUUGUAUCUUUGGCCCGCAUUAUGAUAUUCAUCUUCUGGUUUUUCAGGUUUACUAUUGUUAUAUGACCCCACAGGAUGGUACUCAUAGUGGUGGAUGUUAUGCCUCUGCCUAUCAUUAUUCCAAUCCCCACGAGGUUCACGGCUUGUUCCAGGAUAAUUAUUUUGAGUUCGACCCCUCUUGAUAUCAGAAGAUAAAUGCUGCUUAUUUUGAGGAUCAGCAUUAAUAGUAUAUCUUGAUUCAUCAGCACCAUUUGUGCCUCCAUUAGGGGAGUGAGAAUGUCCUUUAGAUGUGGGCAUUCUCCUUUCUUUCCUGUGUCCUUGAUGCCCUACAUUUUCAGAAGUUUGAUCCAGCAGAGAAUCUUUUUCACUGCUCUCCUUGACAUUAGGCGGAACAUGGGAACUAGGCAGUGAAGGAUAAUCCUUUUUGACAUCAUCUUUUUCCACAGUAACAGCCUGACCUAAGAUAGACCUAUUUCCACGCUGGCUGUUAUUUGAAGAUGAAUUAGAUUUGGGUUGCCAAUGAGACGAUGACCGUUCCUCAAAGCCUCGACUCUCUUUUGAUAGAUUGACCUUCUCAGCAUGUUUUAUGUCAGGACCCAAAAAUAGGAUACGACUCCCAUCAGCUUCCCCACUAAUUUGAUUCUUCUCAUUGUCAUGAUUAAAUCCCAUGCUUUUGUCAGCCUUCAAUGAGUGCUUCUUUCCUUUGCCUGUUACUCCCUGAUCUUUCGCAACAGGUGAAAGAGCAGGAGCUGCUACAUUAGAAUAAGUGGACACAUUCUGGCCAUCAGAAGCACUAGAAUCCCUGGAUACAUUCCCUUCCACUUUGGCAGAAUUUAGAUUGGGCUUCACAGAUUGGUUUUGGCGGACUGAUGUCCGAGUACUCUUGCUUGAGUUGGAUGAGGAAGUUGGAGAUGCAUUCUGCGGUGCUUCUGUUGAACCCCGUUGACGCCAUGCUCCAUGUGCUUUGACUUGUUUAUUAAGCCUGGAAUCAACUUCCCUACACUCUGCAGUUGAUGCAACAUUGCAGGUUGCUGAACUACCUGGAUGAAGACUUCCGGAGCUUGCUAACCCACUUUCAAUUCUCUCAGAAAACUCAUCAGAUGUUGACAUCUCAGUUGAAUAUGAAACUGGCUGCUGGACACUAUUCUGCUGAGCUAAUUCUUUGGCAACUGGCUUGGGUACAUAUCUCUCCAUUUCCGCCCUUUUGCUUUUAAUGUUACUCUGUACUUGAUUAUCACAUUUUGCUGAAAUACCACAUUCCUGUGCAUUUUGUUGGCUCAUUUCACUUGCAGGCUCUGCUUUACUUUGUGACUUCACAGGUGCCCAAAUAACAACAUCAUUGCCAUGAGAUUUAUCCGUAAACCUGUUAGAUUGUUGGUUUCUUGCAAACCUGCGAGAGUGCUGAGGUUUUCUGUGGUUGCUUAGUCUACCAUAAGCCUCAUCACCUUGUAAAGAAGAAUGCUGCUUGGAGGACUCCGCUCCAUCAACAGUAGUGAUCACCUCCUGAACUACACUACUAUCCAGAUCUGAUUGAGAAGCCUUAAAGUCCUCCUUUUCAGUGUAAGCUUCAACAGGGUUACUUUCGUUUGGUGCUGUUGAUGGUAAAAUAGGCAUAGAUGGUGCAUCAUCCAGUUUGUGCUUUUUGCCACUCCUGUUGCCUUUCCUUCUCUGUUGUGCAGAGGACUCGCUAACAAUGUUAGGGUUUCUUGGGAAGUUUGAUUCACCACUAUACAAAGUAUCAUCUUGAGAAACCACAUUGACUUCAUUGGAAGUUAUACCAGUCUCAUUUUUAGGGCCCUCAGCAGCACUGAUUGCCUCUGACUGUUGGCUAAUUUUCUUUUCUUGCGUAGCAUUCUGCUUUGGCUUAAAGCUGUUUCGUUUAUGUCUAGAGGCACCACCUUCAUUCAUUUGGGCAGAAGUUUUACGAUCAUUGGCAUCAGCAGAAUGGGCUUCCUGUUUCAAAGGCAAGGACUGACCAUCCAAAACAACAGGCUCAAUGGGGACAGCUUUGGGUAAAUUGCUGCUUGAAGUUGCAGAUUCAUCACCACUUGGGACAGUGCUCAGACUAGACUGAGUAACACCACCAGAGACUGAAGAAAUAACCUUUGUCACAGCUUGAGAUUUAGCAUCAUCCAGGCUCGAUCCAGAGUAUGUUUGCUGUUCUUGUAGCUCUGGCUGGCACAUACCAACCAGAGCUUUUUCAUUCUUCAAAGGCUUUCCUCCCUGUGUACGCCGAUUCAGCUCCUCCAGUUUAGCAAAAGCCUUUGCCUUCUGUUCUCUAAUUCGCUCUUCCUCUUCCUUCUGUAGCUGUAAGGCCCGUUGCUUCGCCAAUUCUCUCAUUUUGGCACGCUAACAAAGUUUCACAAGUAACACGUCAAACAACUAGAUAACAGACAUCAAAACAUAACACUUCUAAUAAGACCAAAUACUACAUAAUGAAUAACCUGUGCCUGGCUAUCAGUUGAGUCAAAUAUUUCAGUUGCCAUUUCUCCUUCGUUCUUCCCUGUAGGAUCCUCAACAGCUGCCACUACAGGUUGGACUUUAGUUUCAUGGACAUCAAUAGAUAUGAUAUCAGCGGCUGGGAUACUAGCAGGCUCAGCAGCUGGGAUACUAGCAGGCUCAGCAGCUACAGGUUUCUUUUGCCAGCCACCACCAUCCAAACUGCGAAACCUUCCUUUGCCAUUAUCACUACCUUUACCAUGCAUAUGAUCAUAUGCUCUCCUGCAAAAAUUGGAAAUGAGAUGUUUAGCAAUAAAGGGGAAGAAAGAGAAAGACAGUAAAAAGAGAAGCCUUCUUCACAAACCUAGGAGCAAAUGCUGGGUGAGAGCUUCUAUCCCCAACAGAAGGAAGCAUUUCAUGGGAUCCAGGUCCCAUAAUACCAGCUUUGAUCAUGUCAUUACCCUUAGGGUUAACAGCUUGGGACGAGUUCUGUGGACCAUCAUAACGUCCAUCAGAGGCACGAACUUUCACAUUCAAGCCUUCAAUUUUCUGCAUUAAAGUUGAAUCUCUUGCAGUAGCUGUUACAGUUAAACCUCUUUCUGUGCCUGGAGACGGUUGUGACAUUCCUGGAGAGGGUGCAGCAGUCACAGAUUGGUGUUUCUGAUUAUUAUCAACCACAGCACUGCACACAUUCUCAAAUGACUGGACCUUGAACGUGUCAGGAUCAUGAGCCCCUUGAUCCUUUACUUUGUGUGAACAUGAGUUUUCACCUUCUGUUCUCAUUGCACACAUCUCUUCUUCACUAUCAGGCUCAGGCUCAGCACCCCACUCCCUUCGCAAUGACACACCAGACAGGACUCCUUUCUUAGGAUGUGAGGAAUUAUCGAAUGUUGGCCUGCGUUCCAAAUUCUCACCAUCCCCCUUCCCAUUCCCUUCAUCAUGUUGCUUUAAAAGAACUUUAUAUUGCCCAGAGGCAUCACCAGAAUGAGCUGUUUCUACGUGCUCUGACAACAUUUUGCCAGCAGGACCAGUCCUACCAGCUCUGGCACGAGAAUGGCCAGGAUCAGGAGCACUUGGAGUUGAAUGUCUAUUAUAAGCAGAUGGGCCACCCAUGCCCUUAAAUGGUACUUCCCGUUCAUUGGAAUUGCAAUAACCCAUUGGUGGGCCAUAAUAGCCCUCAAAAUGCAUUGGACCAGGAUAAAAACCUGGCCUAAAUGGCAUUCCUGGACGUACAAAAGCUUCAGGCAUCUGAGGCCUGUAUAGCUCCCCAUUUUUUGGAUGGUGUCCCCUAGGACCAGCCCCUGGCAGAGGAACUGGCUGUGAAUUUGGUAAAGCUGGAGGCGGAAUUUGCGGACAGUAGUAAGGGAAUGGCUCAAUGGGGAAGCCGCCAGGUGCGACAGGGGCUCCAUAAGGUGGCCCCGCAGGAGGACCUCUAUACCAAACACCAGCUGGUGCAUUCAUGGGAGGGCCACGCCACGCAUCAAACUGUGGUGGGGGAAUAUUGGAAUUGACAUAUUGUUGAGGCUCCCCAUGCCACUUCACCUGGCUAGGCUGCAUCCCAUCAUCUGCACUUCGGGGACCAUCUCUGUCCCAUGCAUUAACUGUUCCGCUCGUGAUAUCUGGAUCAGAGAAGAAUCACCAUAAAUUACAUUCUAUAUUGCAUAAAAUUCUAUUACCUAGAUGGUAGUUCAAUAAUGACCAGAAAAGCUAAAAGCACAUUCACAGACCCUGACCAGCUUGAGAUUCUUCUGUCUUCUCUUUUCUCUGGGUGCCAGAAGCUGAACUAGGACGGCUAUGAGAACCCUGAUCUGCCAUUGAUUGUUAACGAAGCAAUCAAAACCUCAAGCACUAAUCAAGUUUGAUAAAACUAACAGUUAUCACAAGAAAAGAAAAGUUCCUGAAUGAAAGAGGCUUUAGAGAAAUGACUAGGACGCUUAUGCAGCAGAUCAAGAUAAAAGAUCACAAAUAAAAUCUACACACAAACAAUGAUCGAGUAUAAAAUCUGAUUUUAACUGCAAAGGGAACAAAUAAGCCCUCAGCCCCAAAUUGAGUUCACUCUGUUCCUAAUCAAAAUUUCAGACAUUCAAAACAAUUGUUUUUCCUUCUUUUGCAACUUUUGAAAAAUCCAGUCAAGGAAUAGAAAUUCCAAGUCAAGCAUAAGCAUGUGAGAACAUUGUUUAGUGGGAAAAAAAUGAAAUAAUAAUCCAAAAACAAAAAGCUUCACCAUGCAAGAACCAUAUGUGCAGAUGGUAUCCCAUUUCAAAAUCUUGAAAGAAAGACAGGCCCAUUCUUGUGCUCAACAGUGAAAAAUAUUUGCACAUAAGCUCUGGAAUUCCAGUACUAAGCUGAGUUCUUUGAGGUUGAGUAAGAUAUACGGCCUAUUAAUACCUUUCGUUUUUAAUUUAUAAUGAAGGUGAAUGAUGAAAAGUUCAACAUACGUACGCAAUUUUUCUUAGACCAAGUCAUACUAGGUGCUCCCUGCUUCUCUUCCUUAAUUCUCUCUUCUUCCACCUAUUUCUAUGAUUUUCCAUUCUCCUGCCCCACACACACGCACACCCACCCCCCAACAAAAAAGUGCUCUAUUGACAGGAGAUGCAAGAAAAAUGCAUCAUCUAUAAGGACAACAAAAACUUCUAGAGUACAUUUGCAAUUAAAAAUCACUAAAAAACCGUGAUCCGCGCACGUGAAAUACUGUAAAAUAGAUACUCCUAAGGGCAAUCUGUAAUGGAGGCAUCAGCAAAUAGCAACGUAUUAAAAAAUCCUAAUGGCAAAUAACCAAUUACCUCGUGGCUCAGAAUUCUUCGCAGAACCAUCUCUACUUGAAUUUAGUGUUGGAAAAUCCCCAGUACUCAGAGAGAACCUGUCAUUCUCGGAGGAAGCAACCCCCUGUCAGAUGCACAAGGUGAAUCAGCCUGAUAAAAAUCCUCAAUAAGGAAGAGAUACAAAUAGAAGAUCAACACAAUAAAGUAGAAUCUAAGAACAAAUUAAGGAACAAGGGAGGAGACCCAGAGGUUAACUAGUCUAAACCCAGGAAAUCAAGCAUGUCGGACAAUAGAAACAUACCACUCUUUCUGCAGUACCACUUGGAGCCCGCAGACCUGUACUAUCAGAUACAGUUUCUGCAAACCGUGACAGUUGUGAGCUACUAGGUCUUGUUUCUGCACUCUGUGGCCGCAGCGAGGUUGAUGUUUGGUUUGAUGCCAAUACUCCAGAAGCUGAUGAAGGCCUAGAACUUGGACCCCAUACAUUAGCAGUGCGCUCAUAUGUUCUAUCACUACCAGCAGUUGAUGGUCGACUACCACUUCCAGCAGAUGAUGGACGCCCACUCAGCUGGCUUGGUGAACUGACACUACCAUCAGCAUUUGAAGACUGUGUUGUGGAACCCCAUGGAUUGGAAGCAGAUGAUGAAGGGCGGCUUCCCCAACCAAGACUACCCCUAUGAGGCCCGAAAACCCAAUGAACUUGAUUAAAACAUACAGCCCAAAUAAUAAACAUACAAAGAAUGGGUAUCAAUCAACCGUAAGAGCAGCACAUCAAGCAAGCUGACAGGUGGACGUGUUUAUUUUAGAGAGAGAGAGGGAGGGAGGGAGGGAGGAAGUUUUUACUCACUUGGGAACAAUUUCCACAUUGGGAUCCAGGCCAUGAUUUUCUAACCUUCAAACAUCAUUCAAAAAAAGAUUCAGAAAGUAACCCUAGCGAACACCAAAGAAGAAAAGAUUAACUCAAGCAAAAAACAAUACCUUUGGCUGGGUAAAUUCAAAGGCUUUGGAACAGAAACUUUCCCCAACACAGUCAUUCCAGUUCGUCUUGCAGAAGCCCAUCUGCAACAAUAUCAUUAUAUCCAAUUGUAGAUCCCCAUCAAGAAGAUACAGAAUUUGUCAAACAUCAGAACCAAUAGCACCAAUCAGCUCCCAGAGAUGCACAUGCAUCCAAAAGGGCAAGGUGCCAACUACAACAGAAAGUAUAUAAACAAAACUCUAAUGACACAAAUAGAACUGAAAUUCCCAGUCUGAUCAAAGCCAAUACCCUAAACAGCACCAGAGUCUACCCCCCAAGUGUAAAAAAUAGACAAGUGAAAGAUAACAGAAGGAAGGUGACGAGAAAACAACAAUCUUCCGAUGCCGCCUUGGUCUAGUGGUCAACGAGUUAGACGUCUGGGUUCGAGCCUCAUUAAAUGUGAGCAUUCUCCAACUUUAUGUUAGUUAUCAUACCACUAUUUGUGGGUUAGUUAGUUGUGGUGUUAAUCACUUGAUUGGUUAUAACCAAUUUGCAUUGAUCCCAUUUUUGUGGGUUACUUGUACUCUGAGAAAGAAAAAAACUACAAUCUCUCUCCAUGAGACUUGUGGAGGCUUAAACUCCCCUCAUCAACUUAGUACUGCAAUGAAAUCUGCCAUGCACCCAGGGGAAAGAGGAAUUGGAAACACAAAACACAAAACACAAACUAAUUUUAUCCAUUAAGAAUGAAACUACACGAAUGAACUACAUACACAACAAAUGGGUGUGUGCCCAAACUACAUACACAAAAUCACCAUCAAACUACGUAUUCGAAAAAAAGCAACGCAGCAUCUCUUGUGCCUCAAACAUAGUUGCAUCAAUAAUCCAUUUCUUUGAUUUUCAAACUACAUCGUUUUCUUAUAAAAUGAAGCAAAAUCACACCCAAUACACCAUCUAUUAUGCCAACCUAAGGAGGACGAUAUCCAUACAUUGUUAUGCUGGUAAUCCAUUUCUUUUAGUUUGAAAGACGUGUAUACCAUUUUGGACCCACUGUCACUGGAGUGGACAAAAACAGAAGUUCAAUUGCAGAAAAAUGAUACGCACCAGCAACUUUAUUGAGUUAUUCAAACACAAUGUGUUUCAACCCCCUUUAAGAGCACUUUUGCAACUAUUUGGCAAUAUUAACCAAAAUCACAUACUUAGCUCUUGUAUAGCCAUAACCAGAUAUAAAAAAUGCAGACCUCAGCAUUUGUACCCACAAUUACCUAAAGUAUUCCUUUACCAUGCCCAAUGCAUUCCUAGCAAGUUAAUGAUGCAAAUCAAAGGGACACAUUGGUAAUUCUACCAAAAGCAGCCUCAUGUAGACAUAGGAUUACACAUCUUCAUAAACAGUAAAAACUCCCAACAAAUGACAGUAAAUGUGAGAUGGACCUUAUGAGGUAAUGCAAAAAUAGAAAAUAAUGCGAGCAAGACUACAGUAUUUAAAUGGAAAAAAGGUGACUCACCUCACAUACAUAUAGCAAAAACAAGCUACCCAAUUAACUUAGCUCUAGCUUAGAAGAUAAAAUAAGGUAUGAAACACAUGUUGAAGGUCUUUAAUGAGCUUGUAUAGAGAAACAGUUUUCAAAAAAAUUGACCAUAUCUCUACCUUCUUCAGCAGCUUAUUGUUAUAUAGAACCCACAGCUAUAUCCCCUACCCACAGAUAUGAAUAAUGUGUCUUACGAGCCUUUGCCUUCUCGAGACAGCACAACUUAGACUAUAUGCAGUAAUUUGAUCCGACCAUACAAACGUAUUAGCAUUGAAUCUAAUCUUACAGCGACAAAUAAAAAGAAUCUCUACCUUCGUUCUCCUGCUAAUAUAUUUGACGUCAUCUUCGAAAUAACAUCCCCAGAUCAUUCAGAUGAGUCGUGGUCUGGGUGAAAAUGCAAAGAGAAAUCAUCAGAGGUUACAAACAAAAGCUUAACAAUUACAGACAGAGCAAAAGCAAAACCAAUUAAAAUUAUCGUGCAUGAAAGUUCUAUUCUGCCUUUAUUGUACAGUUCCAGGAUUACAAAACUACAUACACUCUGGAACCAAAACAACACACAACAUAGAAAGCUUAGAGUCUGUUUGAGGGUGGUCCAUUUUUCAUGAAGCUUGUUCUAAGCAAAAAGCACAAAAUUUCAGGUAACCAAUAAGCAAUUUGAACCAAAAUGAUUUGCCCAAUAUUCGCCCAUGCAAUCCUGCCAAACAUUUCAAAGCACCUUUUCCUUCUCCAAACUGUUCCCAACCAUCUCCUUUACAAAUAUAAAAGGAGAAAAAAGACAAGGCAAUGCAAUCCUUUAAUACUUGCUAGCAAGAAAGUCAUGAAAAUCGUGUUCAUGACAACCUUCGAAAGCAGUUUUAGUGGGAACCCUCAAUCAAAUCCUUUCUAUUCAUUAUAAACCCUCCUUGAUUCGCAAAAGCCACCAGAGUUACUUUACUACAAAUAGAAACCUUUAAACGUCAGUAAGACACAAUUUUCAAAGAGAAACAAAAUCAGAAAACCUAUAAAAACAAAAAACAACAUUUAAACCUCUGUACAUGUUAAUACAUGUACUUAGACAAAAAAAUAAAAAAUAAAAAAAUUAUGCCCGAGUAACCCCAACAAGUACAGUGGAAUCAAUCCCUGGAACAUGACUCCCAUUCUAUCAAUAAAGCAAAAGCAAAAAGAAAUACUAACAGCUUUCAAGUCAAUGCACUAUCAAUUCACACAUGCCCAACCAGCACCUAAAAAUGCCCAACGCCCCUUUUUUUUGGCAAUUAAGCAAUAAAGCGCUACAACCCCGAAGACCUGAAGGCAUACACAUCAAUAAUAGUCUUUUCCUAAAAAUGCUUCAUAACUAGCGAACAGCAACUGAUCCUUGAGAGCUUAGAAUAAAUAUGAUCCUCAAAAUGUCAGUCAAUUUAACUACUUGUCCAUGACACUAUCAAGCCUAAAUCUGAUACACAAAGCAAGUCCUACCUGUACUAAAUAUGUGAAAUAAACCCCGAGAAUCCAUAAUUACAUUCAUCUGUCUACCUCCAACCAAAAUCACAAUAUGCACAAAAAGAAGGCUUUCUAAUAUAAUAAGACAUUGUGUAUUCACCAUAUCCUUAAAAAAAAAAAUUUCUCAAUCCCUACAUGAAAAUAGGAUACAUCAAUGCAAUCCUAAACCAAUGCUUGGAUGACUAUGUAAUCAGGAUCUCAACAAGUUUAACUACUUAACAACCUGCAUAGAAUCCUCUCCAACCCUUAAAAAUCAGAAGCUUGUCCAUCUUAACCAUAUAAAACAACCCAACAUAACAAAACAAAAACAUACAUAUUCCACCUAUCAAACAAAAUACACACACAAAGCCUCAAACUUUUCAAGGGCACAGCAUCAUAGACAGGGUUUAUCCUUUCAUCCAGUAAAAAGAAUAGAAAUAUGUCAAUUGCUUCACAUGAUCCGUAACAUCAAAUUUCUGAACCACAAAAGGACUACAUAGAAUUAAUAUAAAACGACUGUUUUGCAUAACCACACACCCACUUACAAUAACUAUAACACUCAAAAUACAAAAAACAGAUUUAACUUCUUAAGUGCCUCUCAACAGCCCCUCCCAAACCCCUUAAAGAGUAGCCAUCCAAAAGAACUCCACCCCUACGAAAUAUAUCAAAAUCCCACCCGCCAAAAAUACCAAGAUAUAGUAUACAAAGCUACCCAUAACUCCAACCAAAAGCAGAAAAUACACUAUAAAAGCCGUAUGCUUGCAGCAACACAACAUUAUCCACCGCUUAAUUCUUGAAUACCGUUAGUAUAAAGGAGAAUAUCUCAAUCAGUACCCAAACCACAAAAAAAAAAAAAAAUUGUUCGUAAACUGCAUAAUCGUAAAACUACUUAGCAGUAACUAUAACAUUUCAAAAAGGCAGCAAAUUCAACUAUUUAGCCAAGCUAACAAAGACUUCUCUUGAAACCCUAGAAUCAAAGACGCCCAUACCACAAUCCACCUCCGAAAAGAAAAACUAAAAAUACAUUCAAACAUCCUCCAAGCCAAAAACACAACAUACAGAGGAAAAAAGCCAGCAUCUUUUGCAGCAAUACAUCCUCAUAAACAAGGUUUCUCCUUUUUCUCCUUUUCCUUCUUCUUUCAUUUAACCAAAAUGAAGAAAAAAACUUCGAAACUCACAAAAUAGCUUCCAAAAAAUGCAACAAACAAACUGAAUCCCAAACACGGAGCCAAAAAGCAGAAGCUUACCGGAGUGAAAUCCGUUCGGAUCUUCAAGAAACUCCGAUCUAGGUAAACUUCUUUUCCUCGAGACAAAUACUAUAGGUAAAAUAAAGGUAUAAAAUUUUAUCUUCUAAAUCAAUAAAUUAUAAAUUAUAGAGAGAGAGAGGGGGGGGCAGGAGACCGGUGACGAUUAAAAGGUUUUCGCUCCUGAGUGCGUGAGUGUGUGUGUUUGCGUGCGCGCGUGUGCGCGUGUAUGUGAUUACGGUGAUGAGAAGGGAUCGGAGGAGGAGGAGGAGGAGGAGAUGGGGGGACAGGGGAACACGGGGAAGAAGGGGAAGAGUGCUUUCGGACUUUCGAGUUUCGAGUCGGAAGUGUGGAACCCACAAGUUGGGUGGGCCGUGGGGGGGCCUAGUGCUUUAACUCAUGGGAUAAUUUCAGAAACCUCCCUUGAGGUUUUUAACAAUUUCACUUAGUUCUCUUGAAGUUUUAAAAAUUAUGCAUACCUCCUUUGAGUUUAUCAUUUUGAUAACAAAAACUAUUCAAUGGUCAAAUUUUGAAUGAAUAACCUAAAUUAUGAAUAACCUAAAUUGUCCCGUGAAAUUGUGAAAUUCAUUUUAUUUUCUUAUAAAAUUCUAUAAAAAAAUAUAUGAAAUAUGCACAAAAUUUCAAACUCACUUUCAACCCUCAUCUUUACUAUUUUAAAUAUUUCAUAUUUCUACGUCUUGAAUUAAUACCAUUAUCUUUGUGAUCACUGCUACCAUAAGUACUAUUAAACUUAAAAAUUUUACUAACUAUAUGAAUAUAACAUCCCAUCUUCAAGUGUUGGAAUACCAAUACAUGCCCUGCUAUAUUUAAAUUUUCAACUUACAUUUAUUUCUAUUCAUCUUUAGAUCUUUCGAGCCAAACUAAAAUUAAUUUGUAAAUAUAUUAUAAUUAUGUUAAGGACAUAAUUACUUAUUCUAUAAGGAACCUUGUUUUUGUUUCCAUUAAAUAUUUAAUUGUAUGGUGCAUUUCUAUGCAUAAGAUUAGAGUCUAGUAUUUAAUUGCAUGAAAUAUAUCAAUAUAUUAAAGUUAUUAGGGUUAUUUUAUAGGAUUAAGGGAGGUAAGUGUAAUAUUAAAAAUCUCAAGAAUACUAGAUGCAAAUAUCAAAAACCUCGAGGGAGGUUUCGAGGUUUCUGAAAUUUUCCCUUAACUCUUUUGUUUAACUACGGUUGAGUUAAUAAUGAAAAAGCUAAAAAGUACUGCUAACUUCUUUACCUUUUUUCUUUACUUAUUUAUUUGUUUUUCCUCUUACAAUUUCAUAAAAAAAAGUCUAAAAACGUAAAAGAAACUAAUUCUUCUCUUAUAUUAAUUCAAGGGAAAAUCGUUCAAAAUGUUUCUCACAUUUUAUAAAAUAAUUUCUUUUAUCCUUUAUUUUUAAAAACGUUAUUUUACACCCCUUACAAUUCACAUUAGUCAAAUUUGAUUUUUAUAUGGGUUUUUAACUAGUUUUUGUCGGAAUCCACCACAUAUCUGGCACGUGAUCAUUUUUUAAAGGCAAAAUUGUUAAAUUAUAUUUCACAUAAUCUGAUCCAAGGUCCAUCACAUUUCACAAAAUAAAUUUUUUUGUCUCUCAUAUUUUAUAAAAUGAAUUUUUUUGUCUCUCACAUAUCACAAAAUGAAAAUUUUCAUCAAUCAUUGAUCAUAUGUACGAAUAGUUUUUUUUUUCUUGAAAAUUCAUAUAUAUAUUUAUUUGAUUUCACCUGAACAAUACAAAUAGCAUGUAAUAUAUUUGUACUUGAUUUCACCUCAACAAGCUAAUUUUAGUUAUAAGUAAAAUCAAAUAGAAAUAUAUUACAUAUUAUUCAUAUUGUUCAGGUGAAAUUAAUUAAAUAUAUACAUGGGUUUUAAAAAAAACUAUUUGAACAAAUGGCCAAUGAGAGAUGAAAAUUUUCAUUUUGACAUGUGUAUGAAUAAUUUUUUUCUUAUUUAUGAAAAUUCAUAUAUAUAUAUAUCUAUUUGAUUUCACCUAAACAGUACAAAUAACAUGUAAUAUAUGUCUAUUUGAUUUCACAUGAACAAGCUGAUUUAGUAGUAUGGGGGAGGGAGUAUAAGUGAGAGGUCUCAGAUUCAAACCCUCCCACUUAUACUAAAAAAAUAGAGAUAUAUUAUAUAUUAUUUAUACUAUUCAAGUGAAAUUAAAUAAAUAUAUAUAUUUUAAAAAAAAGACUAUUUGUACACAUGAUCAAUGAGGGAUGAAAAAAAUUCAUUUUGUAAAAUAUAAGAGAUAGAAAAAUUGAUUUUGUGAAAUGGGAGGGAUUAUGAAUUGGAUUAUAUGAAAUUUGAUUUGACAAUUUUGUUCCUAAAAUAUGAUCAUAUGCAAAGCACGUGGUGUAUUCCGGCCAAAAAUUAGUCGGAAACCUAGGUAAUGAUCAAAUUUGAUCAAUGUAAAUUUAUAACGAACGUAAAAUUAUACUUUUAAAAAUGAAUGACGAAAAAAGUUAUUUUUCAAAAUAUGAGGGACGCUUUGAACGAUUUUUCUUUAAUUUAAUUGACUCUUUUGUCUUUUCAAAUUAUAUGUAUAUGUGCGUGUGCGCACUGAAUUGUAUUACUAUUAGGCUGUAAAUGGUUUUAUUUCAACUGUACAAUUGGAAUUAUUGUCUUAUUGGCAAAAUUUUGGAGUCUUGGUGCCUUUCCACUUUUUUCUACUUCUGUCAAGUCAUUAUAUGCUUGUUAAAGAGGUAAUCGUUUCAAUGUAUUUAAUGGCCGUGAUUUGGCUACUAUGUUUAAAAGUUUAAAUAUAUGGUCGAAAUUGUGUUGUAUAAAUCUGGAUUCACGAUUGUAAACUUUUUAUUGGAAGUAGUAAGUCUUUCUAAUAUUACAAAAUUUUAGAAAUUGUUUUUUGACGAAUUAUAAUUUAUUAACGACGUCGUAUGAUUUGAGAUGAUUGUGACUGACAAUCAUCUUGCACCUCUCCCAUUCUCAAUUCAUCAAAUUCUACUGGUGUAAUGCUAAUAAUUAAAAUGACAUUUAACCCUUCAGAGUUUUGGGCAAACUAUGAAAUGAACCCUAAAGUUUAAACAAGUUAUAUUCAAAUCGCUUGAAUGGUUAAAACUUGAGUUUGACAAAUAAAUAGUUUCCAGGUGGUAAGGGACAUUAGACAUUCUGCGGAUCCUGCGCCUACCAAUUGGAGAUGAAAAGAGUGCAAAUAAGGCUACGCUGUUUGAGCUCAACUACUCGGAUUCGACUCAAUUUAAAAAACUUAAAUUCAAGUUUGAUUUUAUUUUAUCUUACUCAAAUUCAAAUUCAAACCCGUGCAACGCACACCCAAUCGAUCAAUGAGCUUUCAAAAUUCACGUAUUAGGUUUGAACUCGAACUUGUCAAGUAGUUUGGAUUGCUCGAACUUGAAUAAUGGAGCUCAAAUUUUGACCAAAUAAUCUCGCAAUCUAUUUGAUUGAACCCUACUUGUUUGCACCAUUAAGUAUGAGGACGGGUGGAAGGGUUACAAAAAGUUUAUUAAAAAUUUUACCAAUUUGAAGCAAAUAAAGCUAAUUAUAGAGAGGAGAUGGAUGAAUUGGAUGAUACUGAGAAGAGAUGGAUAAGUUAGAGAUCGGAAUUCAAAACUUCCAAUUUACACGAAAAGAAAAAAAAAAAAACUAAUUAUAGAAAAAGCUAGGCAACUAAAACUAGAUAUAUAGCAAAACAAAAACACACACACAAAUAGAUACUCCAUGAUCCCAACUAGUUUCAAAAGAUAAUAACAAUUAAGCACAAUAAAAGAGAUGUAAAGGACUUAAGGACUCACAUCAAAGGUAAUUAAGUAUUACGCCUCAGUACAAAAUUGUACAAAUUGUUUGCGAUGAAUUACAACUUGUUAUUAUAAAAUUACACGGUUCACCAACCGUAGUACCGUUCUUACAACAUUUUGUAACUCAAACUAGGAGGCGCGGUGUAAAUUUCAAAGACUGACAUGCCCGGUGUUGCUGAGUAAGCUAAUAAGAAACUGUAUU